This 499-nucleotide ribosomal RNA is filed under the name uncultured bacterium. Its description in RNAcentral is "partial 16S ribosomal RNA". It matches the Rfam family "Bacterial small subunit ribosomal RNA", at positions 28 to 507 of the family's 1533-position model. The record is from RNAcentral.
GACGAACGCUGGCGGCGUGCCUAAUACAUGCAAGUCGAGCGAAGUUUUUCUGGUGCUUGCACCGGAAAAACUUAGCGGCGAACGGGUGGGUAACACGUAAAGAACCUGCCUCAUAGACUGGGACAACUAUUGGAAACGAUAGCUAAUACCGGAUAAUAGCAUUAACUGCAUGGUUGAUGUUUAAAAGUUGGUUUUGCUAACACUAUGAGAUGGCUUUGCGGUGCAUUAGCUAGUUGGUGGGGUAAAGGCCUACCAAGGCGACGAUGCAUAGCCGACCUGAGAGGGUGAUCGGCCACACUGGGACUGAGACACGGCCCAGACUCCUACGGGAGGCAGCAGUAGGGAAUCUUCCGUAAUGGGCGAAAGCCUGACGGAGCAACGCCGCGUGAGUGAAGAAGGAUUUCGGUUCGUAAAGCUCUGUUGUUAGGGAAGAAUGAUUGUGUAGUAACUAUACACAGUAGAGACGGUACCUAACUAGAAAGCCACGGCUAACUACGUG